This 4255-nucleotide long non-coding RNA is filed under the name Vitis vinifera (wine grape). RNAcentral's name for it is "long non-coding RNA (VVIN_LNC001260)". Lineage: Eukaryota; Viridiplantae; Streptophyta; Magnoliopsida; Vitales; Vitaceae. The record is from RNAcentral.
CGACUCCUCCAAUGGAUCUGAAGAUUCAGCUAGUCACCGAGUUUUCCCGGAAUUAACUAACCCUAGCGGAAACCAACCAGAAAAAUCUAACCCAGGCCGCCGAGGCUAAGAUAAGAAGAUGAUGGAUCAGGAUGAAGCUUAUCUAUGAUAGUAAUAAUAAUGUUGCGGAACCGACAUGUAAGUAGCCGAAAAGGCCAUGUUUGGUAUCACAAAAUUGCAUAAGGUGAUCAGCUCUGUCCCAUGCUUACUAUCUGGUGUAUGACGGGUUUCGGCUUGUCGAGUAUUACGCUUUUGUGUUAUGAAAUAUCAUCUUAAAUAAAAACCAUGGCUACCAUGGAUAUGGUGUGUGCUUGUUUAUGUAUAUGUUUUUUUUAUAUAUGCUUCAUCUGUUAAUGAAUCUUCUUCAGUACUGGUAUAAACCAUAUAUUGAUGCAACCAAAUCAAUUGAAGUUCUUGGGCAUAAUCCACAAUUUUUAGUCAUGGUAAAAUUCAGGAAGUUCUUUUCCCUAGAAGAAAGUCUCUUCAUUUUUGCCCGUUUCAACUAGAAGUUAGCUUGUUUCCAUGGCACCUUUUCCUUUCACUAUAAAGAAAGUUUCUUCAUUGCUUUUUCCAACUUGGAGAAAUGAAUCGUAAGAGGAAACAAAUCAACGGAGAAAUCAGAUGAAACUCAUAGAAGGUAUAGCCAGUUAAGGAAGAUUUCAGCUCUUUAGCUUCAUUAAUCUCAUGCCUCGUUAGCUUGAAUCAAGAGUAAAAAAAUCAAAGUACAACUUUUUUUUUAUGUGUAUAUGUUGCAGUAUGUGGUUUAUUUGAGUGAAAAGACAUAUGAAAAAGAAUGGGCAAAAUGCGGGAGCAAAGUAGAGUGGAACGAGAGCAUAGUGAAGUGGGGCAAAUGAUAGGUUGGGGGCUGUGGGGGGCAACGCCCCACAGUAUGGUUUAGGGUUAUUUUUUGGAAUUUCAUUCUAAGGGUUAAUAUAAAUACUAUUUUAUGUAAUCUUAAUUUUGACAUAGUGAAUAUCCUCUUUCCAUGUUCCCGUUGACGUAGGCAAUUAGUCGAAUCACGUUAUAUCUUCAUGUUCUUCUUUCUCGUUUUUCUAUUUUUUUUUCACCAUUAAUCAUUACAUGGACUCCAACUAUGUAUAUAUAUAUAUAUAUAUAUAUAUAUAUAUAUCAAAUAUCGGAGAAUAUGGCAUUGAAGCCAUUACUUAUUGAAGCAUUAAUAGUGGGAAACACUCACAGUACUACAUGGAAAAAGACGAGGAACAAAUAUCAAAAUAUAUUAAGGCAUGACGCUUCCACAGUACUAUACACCAGCAUAUGGGUGGGGAACAUUAACCUUAGAAAAGUUAGGAAAAAAAAAAACCUAAAGAAAAAUGUGAGCCGUCAUAUUUGAAUUCUAUUUUUAAACUUGAUGUUCAAUGUUGAUGGCAAUUACUGACUAGAUAUAUUAAUAUGAUUGCCACUGUUUGAUGCAUUGCCUUAAUUACAGUAAUAAGGGAAGUUUUUUCCUUUUUGUUUGUUUUAAUCAAUGGUAAGAAAAAGGCCUAGAUAAAAAUAAAUAAAAAUAAAAAUUUAUUGUAACAUUAUGCUUAUUAUGAAACUGUCAUUACAUGAAAUUAAUGCAUAUAUACAUAUUGUUAUAGCAUAAUAAUGUCGUUUUUGAGCUCUAGGAUGAGUCAACCAAAUGAUAAUUCUUAAAACAAACUUAAUCUGACUUAUCGUUAUUGAACAAUAAUUGAUUUUUAGAUGAAAUCAGUCAAAAACCCAAUUUAAUAAUUAGUAUCAAAGUCGAUGGUGAUAAGUUCGAGUUAUGAUUAUUAAAAUAGAAAUAUUUUAUUAAGUACAUGUUUGGAUACAAUUUUUUUUCUUUCUAAAAUUUAAAAUUUUUAUAUAAAAAUGUAACAUCUCAUAAAAAAAUUUGUCAAUAAAAGUUGCAAAUUAUAAGGAGUUAUACGUCCUCCGUACUACCUGCAUAUGAGUGGGGAACAAGCACCAUAGAAAAGAAGAAAAAAAUUAAUAUGAUUGCCAUCAUUUGAUGUAUUCACUUACAAAAGCCCGGCUUCUUGGCUAGGAUGCAUAUGCCUUCUUCUCCCGUAAGAAAUAAAUACAUAAAGGAAGUUAUUUCCUUUCAUUUUGGAGAAUCGAAAGGUUUGUGUUAUUUCUACAUGUUGCUUGGGCAUUGUUGGGAUGUCAUUUGUUUUUAGUAUAUUUGGCUCUGUGCCAGUCAGGGGCAUCACAGAGUGGCCUCCCCAGGAUUCGAACUUGAGACCUUAGGCCUUAAGGCUUAGGACGUUGCCCUCCUGGUACCAUCUGAGUAAAUAUACUCAGAAAAAAUGACGUCCCAACAGGCAUGACAGUAAUUGAACUUCAUUAAAUUUGUCAAAAUACAAUUUUAUAUGUCUUGACAUAUGUUUUAAUGGAAAGAAAAAUACCUGGAUAAAAAAAAGUAAAAAAAAAAAAUUAAUGUAACAUUAUGCUUAUGAUGAGCUAUGACGGCUAGAGAUAUUAACACAUGUAAAAUGAUGAACUUUUUAUGAGGAUUAAUGAGUGACCAUCAAUAGUAUGGUAUUUAUUGCUUAUUUUGGACAAGUAUGCAUGCAUGGCUUUCACGUAUGAAUGAGCCAAUUAUUUACAAUUAACAAGCCUCUUUCUUGUAUGCAUGCACAUAAAUUUUAAUUCCGUCUUGUUUGAAAUAGCUCUUUGCUUUUGACUCUAGGGUUGAAUCAAAACCAAAAAUAAAGUUAAAGCCAUGAUGAUAUAACUAAUGGCAGAGCUAUCACAUGCCCAAAGGAGGCAAGUGUCCCUCCUAAAAAACUAAAUUCUUAUUAAGUUAAAGGGAAAAAAAUUUACUUAUUUAUAUGACAUUACCCCUAAAACCAAUUUUUUCUAUUUUGUCUCUGUGCCUUACAUUUUUGGCUCCAUAAUGAACAUAACUUUGUCUUUAAAAAAAUUUAUAAUUUAGGAUAGUAAAUAUUGAAAGUCGUUGCUAUUUUCUAAUUUUUUUUAUAAAAAAAAAAAGAUUUUUAAGAGUUUUUAUAUCUUAUAUAAAAGUCAUUACUAGUUUUUAUUUUAAAAAUAUAAAAUAAAAAUCCAAACAAACCUUAAAUUAAUCCUUCAAACAAGUCUUAAGUUCUUAUAUUUUUCUUUUUAUGAUUGGUAAAAUGCCAAUCUUAAUUUCCAAGGUUGAGGAAAUACAAGAUUAAAAUUGAUUAUUAAUAGAAAUAAAUAAAUAAAUAUAUAAGAUAUAUCUCUUGAGAAAUAUGAUUGCUAGAUGUACUAGAAAACAAUAGCUUCCAUGCUUCGUCAUCCAUUAGUGAACCCUAAAAUGUAAAUAAUAGCUUAAUCAUCAAUCUUUAUCACAAUUGCUUCUUUGGUGCCCACAACAUCUUCCUUGGUGCUUAUUACAUUGAGAUCGAACCCACUACUGCACUUAGUGCUCAAACAUUUUUAUGCUACCCCCCACCCUAACAAUCCAGAUGAUAGUUAUGAGACUCCCUUAUAAAUACUCAACCUUGAAAAAUCUCUCUUGUAUAUCUCUUCAAAGCAAGUUUCUCAAAUCAGGAGACUGGUAAACUCUUCAACUAACAAAACCCUAGUUUCAUUCCAUUUUUCCUUUGCUUGUUUUAGAUCAUUUGCAUGUGACAAAAUUUUGUGACAUCUGUAGCUGCUUCUUUCAGGUUCAGCAAUUGAUUAUCAGCUUGAUCAUGAAGACGCUACUUGUCCUCUGCGCUGCCUUAGGGUUUUUCUUGGUAACCCUGAAAGCUGAUGCAGGAAGGGUUACUUUGGAGGAAACGUAUAAGAAGGUGGGUGUUGGCGCUAAUGAUCAUUUUAAAACCAUUGCUGGAACCAUGGACAAUCAAGUAGCCAGCAGCGGGGAUGGUGAGUCCUCCAAUGGAUCUGAAGAUGCAGAUAGUCACCGAGUUUUCCCGGAACUAACUAACCCUAGAGGAAACCAACCAGAAAAAUCUAACCCAGGCCGCCGAGGCUAAGAUAAGAAGAUGAUGAAUCAGGAUGAAGCUCAUCUAUGAUAGUAAUAAUAAUGUUGUGGAACCGACAUGUAAGUAGCCGAAAAGGCCCAUGUUUGGUAUCACAAAAUUGCAUAAGGUGAUCAGCUCUGGUGUAUGACGGGUUUCGGCUUGUCGAGUAUUACGCUUUUGUGUUAUGAAAUAUCAUCUUAAAUAAAAACCAUGGCUACCAUGGAUAUGGUGUGUGCUUGUUUAUGUAUAUAUUUUUUUGAUAUAUGCUUCAUGUGUUAAUG